This 2897-nucleotide unclassified non-coding RNA is filed under the name Hevea brasiliensis (rubber tree). Lineage: Eukaryota; Viridiplantae; Streptophyta; Magnoliopsida; Malpighiales; Euphorbiaceae. The record is from RNAcentral.
AAAAAAAAUUUUACUAAACACUUAACAUAAAUGAGCUAUCAUCAGCUACCGGCUAUCAACUAACAGUAAUAAAUACAGCUAACAGUUAUCGACUAUAUUCAAUAGUUACACCAAAACAGGCCCUUAGAAAGGUGAUUGUUAUGGCUAGACUUCUACAGAAGCUUUCUUCUUGGGCAUAUAGCAGACAGACCCAACAAUUCCAAACAUCAGAGCAGAGAAAAGGAAGUCCAUUCAUAUCUUCAAGGUAGAAUUCAAUUAAAACCUUAAUUGUAUUUACCAAACCCAUCACCUUUUAACAUCCAAACACGGAUCAUACCCAAUGAACAUAUGAUGCUUCCUCAAAUUUCUUGAACCAUACCAACAGCUGAAAUAACAAUAUAGAUCAUUGCUGUCUCCAGAUUCAUUUUUGAAAUGGUAUCUACAUUUCACUUGGAAACCAGAGUCGUCUAUAUGGAGUUUGUUGAAUGCUAUAACAGAACAGAGAAUGAAACCCAGGAACUCGCUAUUAGCCCAAUGUGAAGGCAGCUGGAUUGUCAUGGACAAUCCCCAACUUUGAUGGCUGAACCACUUUGGAAUACUACUUCCAGGGAAGCAAAAACCAGAUUCCCCUGCUCGCACAGAAGGCAUCUGAUUGUGCAAUCUUUUUGAAUAAAGCUGAAAUUUUGUUAGUGCAUAUGUCAUGAUGUUGUGCUUUGCAACAGCAUGCAAGUUUCCGCAAUUAGUGAAAAGGAAUUCAAAAAUGUUUCCCUCGACUAUAGUCGAAUCAAUUAUUGACACAGAUAAGAGUGAGAAACAGUUAUCUGCAUCUAAUUUUGUCAACUGGGGUGGAAGUGCUGUUAUUGAACGUAGCGACUUGCAAUCCCUCAAACCGAGGUAUUGCAGCUCUGUGAGCAUUCUGAUGCUAUCAGGUAGGUGACAAAAAGAGUUUCCACUUAGAUCUAAUACUUCUAGUGAGAACAAGUAGCCGAUGCAGUCGGGGAUGUAGACCAUCCCACAACCAGUUAGAUAUAGCUUCCUCAGGUAUUGUAAAUGUGAACCUGAACUGUCUAUAAUUGACAUCAGUUCUGCCAAUCCUUGAAUUCUUUUGCAGUUUCUCAAUUCCAAGCUAGAAAGCCCCUUCAAAUUUUCAAUUGGGGAGGGUAAAUCCAUUAUGGCUGUUCCAUCUAAAUAGAGGCAUCUUAAUGAUCCCAUUGCCUCCAAAAUUUCCGGAAAACAUUCAAAUAUGGAGCAGCCUGAGAGAAUAAGCUUUUGCAAAGAUUUCAACUUACAAAUGCAACUUGGAAGAAUACGAAACUUUUUGCAAUUUUGCAUGCUCAAUUCAACGAGUUCAGAGCAAUACUCGAUUGAUGAUGGAAUUUCCUCUAUUGCUGUCCCACAUAAGAACAACUUCUUUAUGCUUUUUGAAACCUCUGGAAACUUGUUUAUACUUGAGCAGCCAGAGACAAUAAGCUUUUCAAGUGAUGCCAACUUAGAAAUGGUACAAGGAAUAUUCUUAAGCCUUUUACAGUUCUUCAGAUCCAAACAAGAGAGUUUGGAGAGCUCACCAAUUGUCGAGGGGAGUUCUUCUAUUCCAGUUUCACUUAAGUACAAGAAUUGGAUAUUAGUUGAAAUGUCCGGAAACUUGGUGAUAGAUGAGCAGCCAGAAAAAUUGGUAGUCCGAAGGAAUUUCAACAAAUGCAAGCUCUCUGGAAGAUACCGUAGUCGUUUACAAUCCUUCAUAUUCAGUGCAACGAGUCCACUGAGAUGCCCAAUUGAUUUGGGAAGGUGUCCUAUUGCAGUCCCAUUUAAAUUUAAAUACGUUAUAUUCUCUGAAAUCUCUGGACACUCCCUAAGAUUUGUGCAGCCGGAAAGGUUAAGAGUCUUAAGUGAUCUCAAUUUAAUGCCACUAGGGAGGCUCACAACACUUGUGCAGCAUCUCAUACUCAAAAAUGUAAGUUUGUCUAGAAACCGAAUAGAAGAGGGGACUUCCACCAAGCUAGUGCAGUAAUCCAAAUUCACUCUUUCAAGAUUCUUGGCUUGUGAGACGUCUGGAAAUGUGGUCAAGUGCUCAGAAUUACUAAGGCUGAUCUCUUCCAAACUCGCAAGAUUCUGCACUCCUUCCCAUAGUUUUUUAACGCAGCUGUUAGGCAAGUUAAGUUGAACAAGAUUCUCUGCUUGAAAAUUGGGCGUCAGAGAGCUCAGAGGAUAUCUAUCCCAAUGAAGAUACCUCAACUUAUCAGAAAGAAACUUAAGGCCAUCAGGCAGAUGCACUUUACACUUAUUUCCAACUAUAGAAUUAUGGAUUUUGAGUAGUCUAAGAUUAUACAUCCUCAUGAAGGCUUUGGAACUCAAGUACAUUUCUCCGAUUUUAGCUGUGUCUAAGAAUAUUCCCUCAACUUUGUCAGAUCCCAGAUUUUUGGUCAACACUUGACAAACAUCAGUAGGACACCACAAUCUACUGCGCUUGCCCAACUCUUUAACAGAUUCUUGGCGAACAAUUUCAUGAGCCAAUUCUUGCAGCAAGUUAUGCAUCUCCAACUUGUUUCCUAGGAUGGUAAUAAGGCAUUUAUCAACAAGAACAGCAAUUCCAAUGCCUGCUGAGAAACCACAACCAUCUAGUAUUCUCUUUACGAAAUCAAUUUGUUGCCCCUUGAAAAAACAUGCAAUAUCAAGAAAUAUAUUUUUCUCUUCGUCAUCUAGCGCAUCAAAACUUAUUCUCAACAUAUGAAAAAUUUUAGGCUGAGGAAUUCUUCCAAAUUUAUCCAGCGCACUUUCCCAAUCUUCUUUCCUUCUUUCAAAAAGAAAAGAACCCAAAACUUUAAGUGCCAAAGGAUUGCCCUGAGCAUAUUUCACCGCUCUUUUUGAUAGCUCCAUAUUAUCUUUUGUGGUAUAGUUAAAAGCAUUUAAACAAAACAAUU